UACGUAGGCAGCAAGCGUUGUUCGGAGUUACUGGGCGUAAAGAGUAUGUAGGCGGUUGGGUAAGUUUGGUGUGAAAUCUCCCGGCUUAACUGGGAGGGUGCGCUAAAGACUGCCUGGCUCGAGUGUGGGAGAGGAAAGCGGAAUUCCUGGUGUAGCGGUGAAAUGCGUAGAUAUCAGGAGGAACACCUGCGGUGUAGACGGCUUUCUGGACCAUAACUGACGCUGAGAUACGAAAGCGUGGGGAGCGAACAGG
Molecule: ribosomal RNA, 253 nt
Filed under: uncultured bacterium
Lineage: Bacteria
Description: partial 16S ribosomal RNA
Rfam family: Bacterial small subunit ribosomal RNA
Source: RNAcentral